CCUACGGGAGGCUGCAGUGGGGAAUAUUGGGCAAUGGGCGCAAGCCUGACCCAGCAACGCCGCGUGCAGGAAGAAGGCUUUCGGGUUGUAAACUUCUUUUGUCAGGGAAGAGCAGAAGACGGUACCUGUCGAAUAAGCCACGGCUAACUACGUGCCAGCAGCCGCGGUAAUACGUUGGUGGCAAGCGUUGUCCGGCUUUACUUGGUGGAAAGGGCGUGUAGCCGGGCUUACAAGUCAGAUGUGAACUCCGGGGGCUCAACCCCCGAACUGCAUUUGAAACUGUGGGUCUUGAGUAUCGUAGAGGCAGGCGGAAUUCCAAGUGGAGCGGUGAAAUGCGUAGAUAUUAGGAGGAACACCAGAGGCGAAGGCGGCCUGCUGGACGACAACUGACGGUGAGGCGCGAAAGCGUGGGGAGCAAACAGGAUUAGAUACCCGGGUAGUC
RNAcentral lists this ribosomal RNA (442 nucleotides) under uncultured bacterium. RNAcentral describes it as "partial 16S ribosomal RNA". It matches the Rfam family "Bacterial small subunit ribosomal RNA", at positions 338 to 795 of the family's 1533-position model. The record is from RNAcentral.